GGAACGCUUACGCCGCUUCUCAGGAAUCCGAUUCCUCUGCUCCAGUUUCCGAUCUCGAAGCCGCAGUCCGUACCACCAGCGGCAAAGUAUCCGGCACCUUCAACGUGUAAUUUCUACUACCCUACUACGUCAUAAUUAUCUUUUCAUUUCAUGUCCUCUCUUCAAGAUUGGAUUAAAUUAUGCUUCAUUCUGGUGCUAGUGUUAGUCAAUCGUGAACAAUUAUUAGAAAAUUGAUUUAAAAAAUGGCGUUGUUUUGCUAGUGAAUUUUCAAUUAUUUUGACAUUUUUUUGCUAUUUAAUUCCAUUAUGCUGUGCAUUUAAUUGCGGGGCAAUCCAUGUCCGCGGUCACUGUAAUCACUGGUAUAGUUGACUGGCAAACGGCAAGCAUAUCAUUUUUCUCAAUUGUUAUGUGCUGUGAGUGCAAUGGUGUUGGUGGAAUGAGUUUAAGUUCUAAUAAAAGGUAAGAUCAGGAAGAGGAAAAAAAAACGAAAACUAUUUUCGUGCUUGAUGAAACUAUUUUCGUCGGAUUAUUAUUUCCCUGCAAGCAUGAAUUGGAAACUGAUUUUUGAGUUGGUCUAUGGCUUUAUUGGUAUUUUUUUCCUCAUGAUUGAUUACUAUCAUAAAUACAAGAAUGUUUACGUCUAUGUAAUUCUUUUUCAAUUUCAGAGUUUCGAAAGGAGUCAGGGAUAUACCCGGGAGUUUUCAGUCUUCCACUAUCAAUGUUCCUUCUGGACAAUCUUUCGUGUACUUUGGUAUACUACUUGCUGCUGGAGUGUUCUUUGUCUUUAUUGCAUUCACCAUGUUCCUUCCUGUCAUGGUGUUGGUGCCUCAGAAAUUCGCAAUCUGCUUUACCAUUGGUUGUGCCCUAAUCGUUGCUUCAUUCUUUGCACUCAAAGGCCCUAAGAAUCAGCUUGCCCACAUGUUUUCUAAAGAGGUAUUUUAUUUUAUUUCACUGACCAAUGCUCGUAUUAGUUAAUGAAUCACUUACAGAAACAUUUGAGUUAUGUUUGAUUGCAUGGAUUAAAGUUGUUGAAUGUUUCUUGUCAAUGAGAUAUUUAGGCUCCUUGCUUUCCUUCUUAUUUACAGAGGCUCCCUUUCACUUUGGGAUUUAUCAGUACCAUGGUAGGAACUGUAUAUGUUUCUAUGGUGCUUCACAGUUACAUCCUUUCUGUGCUCUUCUCCGUGUUACAGGUAUCAACUUCAAAUUCCUGUGUGGUACUUUGAAUUUCUUUAUAGUCUACUCAUGUGCUUGGCAAAUAGCUCACCUAGGUAUCCGAGUAAUAUCUGGUGUAAAACUUGAAAUGUGUGGUUUAGUUCAUACUAGAUAGGUUACCUGCGCUACCAUUUAAUGCACAAGAGAAGUUUCAUAGAAGUAAUUGCUGAACAAGGAUAAAAAAAAAUGUGCAGGCGUUGUUAAUGUGCUUUUUAAUAUAGUAAAAUUUAAAGAAAUUUCAAAUGCAAUUGCUUUUGUUUUUUAAAUAUUAAGACAAUGAUAUAUUAGAUCAACAUAGGUCAACUUGUGUUCACUUUUCAAAUACAAGGUCUAGUUUGCAAUUAUUUUUUAUUUUAUUAUAUGAUAAUAAAGAUAUAUGCUCGCAUAAAAGAUACCAAAUAUUUUUAUUUUAAAAAAAUAAUACAAAUAUGAUGGACGGGACAAAAAGAAUGUUUGCUAUAAUUAAAAAAAAAAACAACUGUAAUCUUUUUCGAAAACAAAGUUUUGAUGGUAUUUUAAAAAAUAAUAACUCAAAUGUAUUCUUAAUUAAUUCCCAAACUCAAUAAAGUACUAAUGUAAUAUAUAUUUAGUUAUUUAAUUUCAAAUUAAAAUAAUCUUAAAGUGAAAAAAUAAAAUAAAAAUAAAGGCAAAGGACCAAGAGUGCGGGCCUAGGAGGCUUAACAUGCCCGACCCACUAAAAUUCAAACCUAGCGUGUGGGCUUGACAAAACAGGCCUGCGUGCAUGAGCUUGAUACUAUUUGUUAUUUAAAUAGGCCGAUGACAUAUCUAAUAAACAAACCACACUUUUUCUACAAACCUAGUUUCUAGCCACCAUCAUAGUGGUGAUGAACAAAUCAAGAUAGAUAAUGUUUUUACUCAAAAACCUAAUUUUGACCUAUUUUAUGAAAAUAAAAUAAAAAUAAAUGCAAAAUACAGCCAAGAGUGUGAGCCUAGAAGUCCCGGUGUACAUGAGUUUGAUAUUUAUUUAUUAUUUAAACAGGUAAAUGACAUGUAGUUUGCCAAUUUUUUUUAAAAGAAAUUGACGACGACAUGUCUUCUACAAACUCAAUUUCUAGUCAUCACAGAGGUGACAUAAAAUCUUGAUAGAUAUUGUUUUACUCAAAAACCCGAUUUUAACCGAUUUUCAUAUAAAAACAUUCUUAUAAUCUUAAAAAAUUAAUUCCUCAAUUCAAAAAACUCAAAAUUGGUUAAAAACAAAUCAAAUGGCGAAAAAAUCUCACAACACCAAUUUACUUUUUUUGGCAAUUUGAAAGUCCAAAACCAUCUCAAUGACUCCUUUUGGAUACUCUGAUACCAAAUUUGAUCUUUUUGUCAUCAAAUUCCAACCAAUCAAUUUUUUUCUUGAUCAUCCACUAUUUUUUCAUGAUUUCUCUUUCCUUUCUCAAACAACUCAGGGACUGAACUAAAUUGUUUAAUUCAACAAUAAAGGAAAUUUGAAAAUAUACUAAGGCAAAAUUAAGCAAAAGGUGUCGACACCAUUUUCUUUCUUUAAUUUUUUUUUUAAAAGGACUCCUAUUUUUUCUUUGUUUCAGUUUUGAUCCCCUAGUUAUCUAAGUAAAGAUUCUUUAUGUGGUGUAAAACCUGAGUUUUGCUAGUAUUGUUUACUUUUUCCCAUUAUUUUUCUAAAUUAAAAAGAAAGGCACUAUUUUUUUUUUGUCCCAUUUCUUUGUUGAAUUGUAGUGUCUUGUCAGGUGUCUGGCAUGCCAAUUGAAUUAUUCUUUUUCCACUAGUGGCAGUUUAUGAUUUAUAGAAUGUCAUCCUCAAUAGGCUUUGCGUAUUCCUGUUGGGUGAAUCUGUGAUUUUUCGGAUCCAUGGAAUUAUGGUGUGUAUUUACGUGUUUGAAAUACCUCAGAUUAUGCACCAGGGCAACAUUGCCCUCUCAAACCAUAGAUAUCAAUUUCUUCAUUUCUUUUCCAUUGUAGUGACUGGAGUAAUAAUUCUUGAGAAACUAACACCUUUUUAAAACUUUGCUAGGUCCUCGCUCUAUCGUAUUAUGCUUCCCUGGAGGAUCUACUGGGCUGAAGUUUCUUUCUUCAACUUUUACCACAUCAAUACUGAGAUGUUUCGGAAGGUGAUAUCAGUGCCUGGUUUUUCUCAUAUAUAAUAGCUUAUUUAAUAGGUUUGUUUUAUAUUUUAUCAAUUUUAUUAUCGAGUUGAAUUUUUUAGUAAAUAUGUAGAAAUUUAAAUUUAUGUAGAUAAUGAAUUAAGAGUUCUUUUAAAUUAAAUUAAAUUAAAUAAGUUUGGGCUAAAUUAAUAUUUUUAUAAAUUUAUUUAGUUAAUACAUGUUGUCAUCAUUAUUUUUUAUAGAUUUGAUAUAAGUAAUAGAUGAUCGUUUAUGGAUGUAUAGAGAUUCACCUCAAGGGUUGCGGAUGAUGAAUUAUUGUAAUGGAGUUCAGAUUUUUAUUAAUUACGUAUUAUCUAAUCUGAAAAAUAUUAGUGGAGAUGAUAUUAGAUGUCCAUAUAAAAGUUGUAAAAAUAAAAAGUUUAUUGAUCUAGAUAUUAUAAUGAUGCAUUUUUUUCAAAAAAAAAUUCAUAAAAAAAAUACUUGUAUUAGUAUACAAACAAAAAACCAUACGAUCCUCACAAUAAAGGUGGAUAAAGGUGGACUCGUUUAGGCUAAGUCCUAAUCAAACCCCACAUGAAGCCUAACCAAGGUUAAACACUUAGUUGGGCCGAAUGCCCAAUCAAGUCUCACACUUAGUUGGGUCACAACCCAACCAAAUUCUUUUUUUUUUUUUUUUCUCUAUUUAUUUAUCUCGUUUUAAUCAUAAGCUAUGAGUUUAUGAAAACUCUAUUUGAAAAUAUAACGAAGGAAUAGAGUUGCUACCUUAUGGUGAAAGAUUUUUUCUAGAUAUUUUUAUUUUUUUAGAUAUAAAAUGUCAGGUUUUAACAUAAAGAAGGAGAUUAUCUCUUCAAAGAAGUAUUCACUUUUUUUUCAUUAUCUAAAAAUCCUAAACUAAAUUUGGUAUCAGAAAGUUAUUUUUGCUAAUAACAACUGUCAUCUACACAAAAAUCAUCUUUAAAAAGCCUCCAAUCAAAUUAUUAUUUUAAUAUUUUUUAAAAUUAACACUUAAUAUUAGUUUGUUAUCCAUUUAUUUUAUUGGAAAGAAACAAUAGUGGCGAUAUCAAUGAUAAUUUAAAGUAUUGUUUGUUUACAAAUAUAUUAAAAUAAUUUUUUAUUUUAUAAUUAAAAAAAAAAUAUUUUUUGUUUUAAAUAAAAAAAUAAUUUUUAAAAUUUUUAAAAACAUAAUUUGCAUACCACGUUCCGAAUCACUCCCUUAAUAAACAAUGGACACUAACGGAGGAGGAGGUGGCGCGAAAAGCACUAUCAGAUCUCAAAUCCCCAAUCUGAAAGAGAGAGAUUCAGAUCUCCUAUCAAAACCCCCGUCUUCUUUUACAGUAAGGAAAAAGAGAGAAUGCAGAAAACGGCACAAUCGUGGUUCACGGGAGGCCCAACCUUCAACGACCAAAAAUCCUCCUCCUCCUCCGCCCCGUCUUUGCUAUCAGAUUGGAACGCUUACGCCGCUUCUCAGGAAUCCGCUCCCUCCGCUCCAGUUUUCGAUCUCGAAGCCGCAGUCCGUACCACCAGCGACAAAGUAUCCGGCACCUUCAACGUGUAAUUUCUACUACCCUGCUACGUCAUAAUUAUCCUUUCAUUUCAUGUCCUCUCUUCAAGAUUGGAUUAAAUUAUGCUUCAUUCUGGUGCUAGUGUUAGUCAAUCGUGAACAAUUAUUAGAAAAUUGAUUUAAAAAAUGGCGUUGUUUUGCUAGUGAAAUUUCAAUUAUUUUGACAUUUUUUUGCUAUUUAAUUCCAUUAUGCUGUGCAUUUAAUUGCGUGGCAAUCCAUCUCCGCGGUCACUGUAAUCACUGGUAUAGUUGACUGGCAAACGGCAAGCAUAUCAUUUUUCUCAAUUGUUAUGUGCUGCGAGUGCAAUGGUGUUGGUGGAAUGAGUUUAAGUUCUAAUAAAAGGUAAGAUCAGG
Molecule: long non-coding RNA, 5213 nt
Filed under: Populus tremula
Lineage: Eukaryota; Viridiplantae; Streptophyta; Magnoliopsida; Malpighiales; Salicaceae
Description: long non-coding RNA (PTRE_LNC000996)
Source: RNAcentral